Molecule: ribosomal RNA, 551 nt
Filed under: uncultured bacterium
Lineage: Bacteria
Description: bacterial SSU rRNA
Rfam family: Bacterial small subunit ribosomal RNA
Source: RNAcentral
AACAGGAUUAGAUACCCUGGUAGUCCUAGCCGUAAACGAUGGGUACUAGGUGUAGGAGGUUUCGAUACCUUCUGUGCCGCAGUUAACGCAUUAAGUACCCCGCCUGGGGAGUACGUGCGCAAGCAUGAAGCUCAAAGGAAUUGACGGGGGCCCGCACAAGCGGUGGAGCAUGUGGUUUAAUUCGAAGCAACGCGAAGAACCUUACCAGGUCUUGACAUCCCUUGACAGCCACAGAGAUGUGGUCUCUCUUCGGAGCAAGGAGACAGGUGGUGCAUGGUUGUCGUCAGCUCGUGUCGUGAGAUGUUGGGUUAAGUCCCGCAACGAGCGCAACCCUUGCCUUUAGUUGCCAGCAUUAAGUUGGGCACUCUAAAGGGACUGCCGGUGACAAAUCGGAGGAAGGUGGGGAUGACGUCAAAUCAUCAUGCCCCUUAUGACCUGGGCUACACACGUGCUACAAUGGUCUGUACAGAGGGCAGCGAAGCAGUGAUGCGGAGCGAAUCCCAGAAAGCAGAUCUCAGUUCGGAUUGCAGGCUGCAACUCGCCUGCAUGAA